RNAcentral lists this ribosomal RNA (253 nucleotides) under uncultured bacterium. RNAcentral describes it as "partial 16S ribosomal RNA". It matches the Rfam family "Bacterial small subunit ribosomal RNA", at positions 524 to 776 of the family's 1533-position model. The record is from RNAcentral.
UACAGAGGUCUCGAGCGUUGUUCGGAUUCAUUGGGCGUAAAGGGCGCGUAGGCGGCGGGGUAAGUCUGGUGUGAAAUCUCGGAGCUCAACUCCGAAAUUGCACUGGAUACUGCUCUGCUAGAGGGCUGGAGAGGAGAUCUGAAUUCACGGUGUAGCAGUGAAAUGCGUAGAUAUCGUGAGGAAGACCAGUGGCGAAGGCGGAUCUCUGGACAGCUCCUGACGCUGAGGCGCGAAGGCUAGGGGAGCAAACGGG